AUCCCAUGAUGAGGACAGGAGAGGAUGCAUUCUUGCAGUCUCUCCCAAGCUUCAGGGAUGGUUUCCAUCCCUGUCUACUGGAAACUCGUAAUUUUCCCGCGAAGGGC
Panicum virgatum (switchgrass) is the source of this 107-nucleotide small nucleolar RNA. Lineage: Eukaryota; Viridiplantae; Streptophyta; Magnoliopsida; Poales; Poaceae. The record is from RefSeq and is a predicted model, not a curated record.